AGAGGACCUUUCAGAAUCAAUCGUUAAU
RNAcentral lists this non-coding RNA (28 nucleotides) under Cricetulus griseus (Chinese hamster). Lineage: Eukaryota; Metazoa; Chordata; Mammalia; Rodentia; Cricetidae. The record is from RNAcentral.